GGGCCCGUAGCUCAAGGGUUAGAGCUAACGGCUCAUAACCGUUUGGUUGGGGGUUCGAAUCCCUCCGGGCCCACCA
Molecule: transfer RNA, 76 nt
Filed under: Candidatus Liberibacter africanus
Lineage: Bacteria; Pseudomonadati; Pseudomonadota; Alphaproteobacteria; Hyphomicrobiales; Rhizobiaceae
Also listed under: 1 other name
Description: tRNA-Ile
Rfam family: tRNA
About the family: Transfer RNA (tRNA) molecules are approximately 80 nucleotides in length. Their secondary structure includes four short double-helical elements and three loops (D, anti-codon, and T loops).
Source: RNAcentral